UCGAGAGUUUGAUCCUGGCUCAGGAUGAACGCUAGCGGCAGGCUUAACACAUGCAAGUCGAGGGGUAUAGUUCUUCGGAGCUAGAGACCGGCGCACGGGUGCGUAACGCGUAUGCAAUCUACCUUUUACAGAGGGAUAGCCCAGAGAAAUUUGGAUUAAUACCUCAUAGUAUGUGAGAAUCGCAUGGUUUUCACAUUAAACGUUCCAACGGUAAAACGAUGAGCAUGCGU
This 230-nucleotide ribosomal RNA is filed under the name uncultured Flavobacteriaceae bacterium. Its description in RNAcentral is "partial 16S ribosomal RNA". It matches the Rfam family "Bacterial small subunit ribosomal RNA", at positions 1 to 236 of the family's 1533-position model. Lineage: Bacteria; Pseudomonadati; Bacteroidota; Flavobacteriia; Flavobacteriales; Flavobacteriaceae. The record is from RNAcentral.